Molecule: ribosomal RNA, 1076 nt
Filed under: Vibrio cholerae
Lineage: Bacteria; Pseudomonadati; Pseudomonadota; Gammaproteobacteria; Vibrionales; Vibrionaceae
Description: partial 23S ribosomal RNA
Rfam family: Bacterial large subunit ribosomal RNA
Source: RNAcentral
UCUGCGAUUUCCGAAUGGGGAAACCCAACUGCAUAAGCAGUUACUGUUAACUGAAUACAUAGGUUAACAGAGCAAACCGGGGGAACUGAAACAUCUAAGUACCCCGAGGAGAAGAAAUCAACCGAGAUUCCGGUAGUAGCGGCGAGCGAACCUGGAUUAGCCCUUAAGCACUCGGUGAAGUAGGUGAACAAGCUGGAAAGCUUGGCGAUACAGGGUGAUAGCCCCGUAACCGACGCUUCAUCGAGCGUGAAAUCGAGUAGGGCGGGACACGUGAUAUCCUGUCUGAAUAUGGGGGGACCAUCCUCCAAGGCUAAAUACUCCUGACUGACCGAUAGUGAACCAGUACCGUGAGGGAAAGGCGAAAAGAACCCCUGUGAGGGGAGUGAAAUAGAACCUGAAACCGUGUACGUACAAGCAGUAGGAGCACCUUCGUGGUGUGACUGCGUACCUUUUGUAUAAUGGGUCAGCGACUUAUAUUCAGUGGCAAGGUUAACCGUAUAGGGGAGCCGUAGCGAAAGCGAGUCUUAACUGGGCGCUCAGUCUCUGGAUAUAGACCCGAAACCGGGUGAUCUAGCCAUGGGCAGGUUGAAGGUUGAGUAACAUCAACUGGAGGACCGAACCGACUAAUGUUGAAAAAUUAGCGGAUGACUUGUGGCUAGGGGUGAAAGGCCAAUCAAACUCGGAGAUAGCUGGUUCUCCCCGAAAGCUAUUUAGGUAGCGCCUCGGACGAAUACUACUGGGGGUAGAGCACUGUUAAGGCUAGGGGGUCAUCCCGACUUACCAACCCUUUGCAAACUCCGAAUACCAGUAAGUACUAUCCGGGAGACACACGGCGGGUGCUAACGUCCGUCGUGGAGAGGGAAACAACCCAGACCGCCAGCUAAGGUCCCAAAGUAUUGCUAAGUGGGAAACGAUGUGGGAAGGCUCAGACAGCUAGGAUGUUGGCUUAGAAGCAGCCAUCAUUUAAAGAAAGCGUAAUAGCUCACUAGUCGAGUCGGCCUGCGCGGAAGAUGUAACGGGGCUAAGCAAUACACCGAAGCUGCGGCAAUAUCUUUUAGAUAUUGGGUAGGGGAGCG